This 187-nucleotide small RNA is filed under the name Marmota marmota marmota (Alpine marmot). RNAcentral's name for it is "DAOA antisense RNA 1 conserved region 1 (ENSMMMG00000020261.1)". The stretch from base 1 to 139 matches the Rfam family "DAOA antisense RNA 1 conserved region 1". Lineage: Eukaryota; Metazoa; Chordata; Mammalia; Rodentia; Sciuridae. The record is from RNAcentral.
UGGAUUACACUUCAGGAUGUAGGAUUCGAUUCAAACUUUGAAGUGUCCUCUGACUUCGCAUCUGAAAACAUGUAUGGAUAUGCACUCAUGAGGGGCGAGAGGACAAAUGUCCUCCUGUGUGUCCUAUAAUUCAAAUGCACCCAUCCUCAGCCCCUCUCUGUUACUUCCUACAACCUCAGUAGAACCU